This 840-nucleotide ribosomal RNA is filed under the name uncultured bacterium. RNAcentral's name for it is "bacterial SSU rRNA". It matches the Rfam family "Bacterial small subunit ribosomal RNA", at positions 51 to 904 of the family's 1533-position model. The record is from RNAcentral.
ACACAUGCAAGUCGAACGAGAGAGAAGGAGCUUGCUUCUUCGAUCGAGUGGCGAACGGGUGAGUAACGCGUGAGGAACCUGCCUCAAAGAGGGGGACAACAGUUGGAAACGACUGCUAAUACCGCAUAAGCCCACGGGUCGGCAUCGACCUGAGGGAAAAGGAGCAAUCCGCUUUGAGAUGGCCUCGCGUCCGAUUAGCUAGUUGGUGAGGUAACGGCCCACCAAGGCGACGAUCGGUAGCCGGACUGAGAGGUUGAACGGCCACAUUGGGACUGAGACACGGCCCAGACUCCUACGGGAGGCAGCAGUGGGGAAUAUUGCACAAUGGGGGAAACCCUGAUGCAGCGACGCCGCGUGGAGGAAGAAGGUCUUCGGAUUGUAAACUCCUGUUGUUGAGGAAGAUAAUGACGGUACUCAACAAGGAAGUGACGGCUAACUACGUGCCAGCAGCCGCGGUAAAACGUAGGUCACAAGCGUUGUCCGGAAUUACUGGGUGUAAAGGGAGCGCAGGCGGGAAGACAAGUUGGAAGUGAAAUCUAUGGGCUUAACCCAUAAACUGCUUUCAAAACUGUUUUUCUUGAGUAGUGCAGAGGUAGGCGGAAUUCCCGGUGUAGCGGUGGAAUGCGUAGAUAUCGGGAGGAACACCAGUGGCGAAGGCGGCCUACUGGGCACCAACUGACGCUGAGGCUCGAAAGUGUGGGUAGCAAACAGGAUUAGAUACCCUGGUAGUCCACACCGUAAACGAUGAUUACUAGGUGUUGGAGGAUUGACCCCUUCAGUGCCGCAGUUAACACAAUAAGUAAUCCACCUGGGGAGUACGACCGCAAGGUUGAAACUCAA